UACGGAGGGAGCUAGCGUUGCUCGGAAUUACUGGGCGUAAAGCGCACGUAGGCGGAUCUUUAAGUCAGAGGUGAAAUCCCAAGGCUCAACCUUGGAACUGCCUUUGAUACUGGGGAUCUUGAGUCCGGGAGAGGUGAGUGGAACUGCGAGUGUAGAGGUGAAAUUCGUAGAUAUUCGCAAGAACACCAGUGGCGAAGGCGGCUCACUGGCCCGGUACUGACGCUGAGGUGCGAAAGCGUGGGGAGCAACAGG
This 252-nucleotide ribosomal RNA is filed under the name uncultured bacterium. RNAcentral describes it as "partial 16S ribosomal RNA". It matches the Rfam family "Bacterial small subunit ribosomal RNA", at positions 524 to 775 of the family's 1533-position model. The record is from RNAcentral.